CCAAACUUGGUCAUUUAGAGGAAGUAAAAGUCGUAACAAGGUUUCCGUAGGUGAACCUGCGGAAGGAUCAUUAACGUAUCUACCUCUGGGGGUCGUGUGGCCCUGCUCCGGCUCCGGCCGUACGAGCGGGUCCGCGCCGCUGGAAACACUACAAACCCCUGUGCACCUUUCGCGGUGGAGAGGAUUGUGGCGAGAGCCCCUUCCGAACCCUGCGGCCUCACAAACACGCAAAAGUUUAAGAAUGUCUGAAGCAGACCCCGUCUGCCCAUGAAAUGUAACAACUUUCAACAACGGAUCUCUUGGCUCUCGCAUCGAUGAAGAACGCAGC
This 328-nucleotide unclassified non-coding RNA is filed under the name uncultured fungus. Its description in RNAcentral is "partial contains small subunit ribosomal RNA, internal transcribed spacer 1, and 5.8S ribosomal RNA". The stretch from base 1 to 73 matches the Rfam family "Eukaryotic small subunit ribosomal RNA", at positions 1759 to 1831 of the family's 1831-position model. Lineage: Eukaryota; Fungi. The record is from RNAcentral.